Long non-coding RNA from Hylaeus volcanicus, 6290 nucleotides. RefSeq lists it as uncharacterized. The record is from RefSeq and is a predicted model, not a curated record. NCBI's taxonomy places the organism in Eukaryota, Metazoa, Arthropoda, Insecta, Hymenoptera, Colletidae. The transcript has 2 exons.
GCUAUUAUUACUAUUACGAUUAUUAUUAUUAUUAUUAUUAUUAUUAUUAUUAUUAUUAUUAAUGUUAUGUAUGUUAACUUUUGAAUCGCGUCGAGUUGAAAGUGGGACGUGCAAUGUUGCUGUACGAAAUCAACGUUAUUUCCGAGCGCAAUUGUUAAUCUGCUUAGAGAAAUCGCGACCCCGUGAAUAGUGAUAGCGACCGAUCGUACCCAGGGGGAAUGAUCCUUGGAUCGAAACGACGAGUUGGAUGGAAAACGUUGCACAAAGAAACUUCCGACGCGACACGUUUCAUCGGCGUGGCUGACGCGGUGACGCAACCAGAAACUUCAAAACGGCGAGAAAAGGCGCGGACAAUGAGGGAGGCAUCCUUUGGUUGCGUCACUAUGGCUGACGAAUACUUGCAUUCAGCAUCGAGGACUCAACCACCAUUUUUCAAUUAAUCGAAAUUCGUGGAGUACAUGCUCACGCGCUACGCCACGGUGUAACGAGUAUGUACAGGCUGGCCUAAGUACGUGUGACGAGCUAUAACUUCGUUGUCAGUAAACGAGAGAAAGGAAACGUAACGUCAAAGGAUAAAUAUGAAUGAUUCAAAGUGUACUUGAGGUUCAAUGUAUGGAAAAAAAAUUUCCAUAAAAAAAAUAAUGCAGCUACCGAUUGCACGUGCACCAUUGCACUUAUAAAAAAAAAAAUAUGAUUCUACAACAUGUAGAUUGUACAUGUGCCCAUAAUCAUGAAAGUGGUCCAAGUCAUAUAUUUCUUGAAAAAAGAAUUACAUUGAAUUAAUUUAGAAUAUUAUAUAAUUAAAUUUUGACUUAGACCAUUUUCAUAAUUAUGGACUCAAAUACGGUAUUGAACCACUCAUCUCCCUCUGACAUUUUUCUGUAAAUACACCGCUAACAAAGUUUAUACCCCGUUACACUCACUUGACCGACUCUGUACAUAAAGUACAAUAACGAAUAUGCAUCGUGUUUAUUUCAUUGACAUAAAUUUAUUUAAGCGUAAUGGAAGCCUCACAUAGUGGCCUAUGACUUUUGCACAAUGCUGCAUACCUGUUACCCGAAUCGCUUAACCCAUUUCCAUCGCACGGAAAAGCGGAAAAUUCGUUCUUAUAGCCAAUAUUUUAUUUGAAUUCAAUUUCCAAGUAAGUCGCGCGCAUAUAUACGCCUCUGACGAUAGUUGGCAGACAAAAAGCGCGCAUAUAUACGCCAGCGAUGCAAAUGCGUUAAGCGCACACGUUUGCGCUGCGUAAGCAAAGAAAACAUGUAAAUCAGGUAGCGCGAUGUUCGUGCAAUCAUAUCAUUCGGAUAGCGCAAGCAGGUGUUCUAUCCGAACAGUACAAACGUCUAGGUAGCAUAAACGCGUCGGUCGCACGCGUGGGCGUGUACGACGUAUCAAUUCCCGUGAGCGAAGGAGGCACGUUGUUUGAAAUAAUUGGGGGAUCGCCUGACUGUUACGAGAGAGCUACUCGAGAGUUACAAAUUAAAAGUUGUUACUUUAAGUCGGUAAAAAAUGCUAUUUUAAAUACACGGUAUUCAUUGCAUCCGUAAUGUAUGGUUCGUUGCUCUUUUAAUCGACCAAGUAGAUAACACGCGACUUGCACUACGAAAGAACGAACAACUUUCAACAAUUUAUAUUUGAUCGAAUCGAUCGAGAUGAGAUAUUUUAAUUAAAUUCAAAUAACGCUAUCGUUGACUUUUAUUUGUUUGAAUUGUAAAGGGAAAUUCGUUCCAUAAGUUUUGCUUUCCAAAUACAGAUAAUAGUCGAAUAAUCAGAUUAGUAGAAAAAGUGUAAAAUAAUUCAAUAAUAUUCCGAAUCAUUUUUUGCUUUAUGUAUAAUUUAUACAUAACAAUACAUAUCUAAUUAUUGAAAUAAACGUGUUUGCUAGAGUUUCCAAAGCAACACUGAUAUUUAUAGUCUUACAAACAAUUUUAUCAAUUUCAACGUAUCGACCCGUUGUCCUAGGGUCCUCUUCGGGAUUAAUCUGUAUAAAGUGAAAAUAUAUCCAGUUACGGUACAAAUAGGGUACUAUAUCAUUUGAAUUCUAAUUACGAAUCAUAGGUACAUAAUGGUGGCGCCCCCAUUAUUCGAAUAAAUUUCACCUUUUUCGCAAUGUCUAUCUUACUUUGGCUUAUUUCUUCGUUAAAAAUCGCUCAUACUAUUUUUUCAAUGUACACACGAAGGAAAAAGAAUUCCACUUAAAUUUCGUCGUGUUAUCAAUGAAACGUGUUUCCACGCUUCCAUUUUUGGAGUCUUCGGACAUUCCCCACGGAGACAUGCUGGUACGAUGCUCGUAAGUCGACGAAGCAUAUCCAAUGUCGAGCAUAAAUAUUCGCACGGAACAGUUGUCCAAACGAAACUAGUUACAGAUGUGAUAGAAAUCAUUGCAAACAUUUGAUUUCCAUCCGAAUACAAUUUUCCUAAACCUCGGCAUAUUUAAUACAUUCUGAAAUUUAGAAUGUAAUAGAGUAUUCUAAAACGUAUUGCAUAUCUGGAAUCUUAAUUCUAGUUUUCUUUUUUAAUUCAUGCAGCAGUUUCAUAACCAAGUUAGAACAAGAAAUUUUAUUAUAUGAAAUGUAAAAAUGAUUCGUUGAGUAAGUUUGUUCCACAAACUCGUUCAAAUGACAUUUAUUAACUGACUACUGCAACAAAAUCUAUCUUCAAGCAUGAUUUAUGGAUCUUCUUCUAUCGUUCCGAGAAAGCAAUUGCAUUCCUCUGCGAGACCAUGCUGGUUCUUCGGAUGCAAAAAACUGCGCACAUCCACGUCUGAUGACGUCAUUAUUGUUGAAUCAUCACCUACUCGAAAGGCGUGCAGAUUGCCCAGAAAAGGUGAUCCGAAGCCUGGACUGGGUGAAUCGUGCAGUGUUUGAUAAGAAAAUUUUAGUUUCGAAAUCAAAUAUUUGCAACGAUUUUGUUCCUAUCUCCAACCGAUUUUAUCUCGACGAUCGACCUCGUAUAAAAAUAUGCGUUCGACGCUGUGCGUGAAAGGGAACAACGAAUUUAUCAGAGACAAAAUAAAAAUGGAGGGAGAUCCCUUUUCCGCGGUUUUCCGGUUUGCUGUUAUCGGCGCGAGGUGCACACGGAACCAGGGAACGGGAACACGGGAAUAGGGACCGGGAAACAACUUCCUCUACUUCCUGCUGCGAUUCUGUUUCACGCGCGCUUCCGGCCGUCCCCCCCGCGCGCUUCUGUUUCUACGUCGAGCGAGAGUGAAAAAAAAUGGAAAAUACGCGGUUUUCGAGUAUAUUACGUGAAAGUAUCGAGCGACGACGAAGAAGAAGGAAAAUAAAAAAAUAUAAAAAACAGAAACAGUCACACAAGACGAGAAAGAGAAAAGAGAGAGAGAGAAAGAAAGAACGGAUGUUUCGAUUCGCACGAGCGCAAUAAAAGCGAAGGAUGAAUAUGAGACGUUCUCUUACGAGUGGAAAGAGUUUAUAAGCGGAUGGAUUGAUUUUACGACGAGCGACCUACGAUGUACAUGUGCGAUAUAUUAGUCUAAUUGUAAGAGCCAGUGACGAUUCUACUUACGUCAUUUCGAAAUGAAAAUAAACCCUUUUUUUUUACGGAAGUAUAACCGACGACCACGAAGCAGCCACUCGUUAGAAUAACGUCGUAUAUUUAGAAGAUACGAAACAAAAAUAAAAUUACGUCUACGAUUGAUUUUGAAAAAAUCAUAGAACAAAUUGGAUAAUUCGUUAAAGUCUAAAUAUAUUUCUUUGUCUAAGAAAAAUCGCUGUGCGUUAAAAUCCAAACGAACUUCUUAGCCAACCUAAAAGUAUACAUUCAACUUACGCUAUGUAUAUUUUACGUACGUUUUCUAGUUAUCGCGAUUUCGUUGAAAAAGUGUCACCUUCGGUUAAAAGUGACGCGAUUAAAAUCGUCACCGGCUCUCCGACUAUACUACGUUUUCUUUUAUUUUCGAUGACGACUGCUGCUUGACGAUUUAUCGAUACGACGACUAUAUGGCGACUAUAUGCGAGAGCGUAGACGGUGUAUGUAUAAAAUGUAUUUUAAGCGUGGACAAGAAAAAAAAAAAAACAAAUCAAUUUACACUUACAGUUUGCUGUAAACGAGUAACAAUACUGACGCGGGUUGUGCACGAGGAAAUGAAACGUACACAAACGUACGUUCGGUGGGGCGGGCCAUGGGCCAAUGGAGAAUCGGAUCGAGCCGCGAUCGCGUUUAACCGCGUGGAAAACGAAUUUUUCAUCCCACGCCUUGUUCUUUUUCCUCCCGUUUUUCAUCGUCCUCUGCGUGCACGCGGUUUAUCCCGUUGUGUCGCCGCCGAUCGAUCGAAUUCCGUCGUUUUUGCACCCUUAACGAAGGCUUUUUAUGAAACGGCCUCGAAACACCCAGCUCUGCUUCCGAAAAUUGUUCCACGCUUUUGUUCGUACUUUACCGAUCGGUAGCCUGUUAACCCUUUAGCUUACGACGAUGUGCGAGACACGCGAUAAAGGAAUUCGAUUCGAACAUGAAAAGGGAUUUUAUACUUAACACGCGCGGUCCCAGAGUAAAUCGUAGGUCAAGGGGUUAAUCUGCUUCUUUUGCUGAGACAGCCAAUAAUUUGUUAUCUAUCAUUGAGAUAACGUUUAAACCUUUUUGACAAUAAGCAUUGUACCUUCGAAGAAUACCAAUUUGACGAAUUUGUUAAAGUUUAGGAAAGGGCUUAUAAAAAACAAAAUGGGGCUUGGGAGCUUCGUACUUUAACAUACCAAAAUGAGUAAGAGCAUCUGUUUAAACAAGAACGAUAAAUUAUUGAAUAUAAGGGCACGAAAUUAAUUUUUACAUCCAAUACAUAGACGGGAAGUGUCAUGAUUUUUAUUUGAAACAUUAGAAAAGAAACGACGACAUUUUCCAUUACAUUCACUACAACCUUCGAUUCGAUAUAGAAUAUUUAUCUGGAAUUAUCAAUUUGGAAAAUAUUAAUUAGACACUAGAAUCUAACACUGCAUCCAUUGAAAAAAAAGAGUGAUACAAAAGAACGCUUCAAUUUGAUACUUCGUUAAAAAAAUGGUCAAAGAUAUUCCAAAUAAUGUGAGAAAUCCCAGAAGGUGAGAAUACGGGUUCUCUUGCAAAUGAAAAAAAAAAAAAAAGAAAGUGCACGCAGAGAGAAGUGGAAGAAAAAGAAUCCACAGGCGAACGAAUAGGCGUAAGAAAACGAAACAAGGAGUGCCAAAUCAUCCGUGACUUCCGUCCCACUUGGGCAAUAACGAGUACACAAACAUGGCGAGAGUGCGAACGUUGCCACAUGUCCUCCAAUAAUCGUAAGAAUUCUUAAUCUGUCCUCUGCGUCGAUUCUUUUUCGUGUGCCGUGGACGAGGAACGAACGUUGGUUGCGAAAAUGCUCGCGCAUCCAUUACUUUUUUCGCCAAGGUUCGUUGCUCGUCGCGUGCAGCGACAAAACGUACGAAACGAACAAAUAAUUCAGCAGCCAUCCAAAGGAAGAGAAUAAGUCGCGAGCAUAUUCGAGCGACGCUUCACGAUAAACCGGUGCUGUUCACGGGCCGAUACAGGCAAAAUUCUUAUUUAGAUAUAAAUUGUGAAUAACGAAUAAAAGUUACGUAAUUAUCUAUCGGUUACUCGUUGAAUGAACAUUAUUAUUUCGAUUAUAGAGUGAAAUGUUUCGCGAUAAAUAAAUUGAACCAUUCGAUAGGAUGAACGUCGAUCGAUAUUUAUUCGUUAUGUAUUACUCGAAUAAACUUUUGCUCAUCUUUGAUCACGGGUGGAUCCCCUUGCGCAGCUUUAUUCCCCCCUGUACGUGAUGUAUUGUGUUUGUGUGUAUGUGUAUGUGUGUUUGCGUGCGCGUGUGCACGCAUAACGUAACGCGACGAUUAACUUAGCGUUCAUGUAUAUAAUAAUGGGAAACAGAAUGAGAGGAGCUUCGUAAGUUUAUCGUGAACAGCGCUGCAAUAAACGAUCGUCCCUCGAGCGAUCGAUGUAAAUAAUGAUCUAUUCGGAUCAAAUAAUUUCGACACUCGCAAUCAGUGCCUGUCGUUUCGUCGACGAGAACGCGUUACCAACGAACGAGAUACAAAAAAAAAAAAAAAAUUAGAUACGAACGAUCCACAGUCCUUGCCAACGGACGAACCGAUUAAAUAAAUGAAAACGAACUCGCAUCCGAUUCUCCAUAUUGUGGACGCUUUCACAAAAAAACACGACAAAUCGGCCGCGAUUACAGUUCUGACGGCGAUUUAUUAAAAAAAAAAAAAAAAAAAAAGAAUAAUAUUUAUUCCAACGACUUGCCAGUUUCGUUGCACGGUACAUUACGAAGUAAGUUCGAGAGAGAAUGAAAA